AGGUCCGUAGCGGUCCUGACGUGCAAAUCGGUCGUCCGACCUGGGUAUAGGGGCGAAAGACUAAUCGAACCAUCUAGUAGCUGGUUCCCUCCGAAGUUUCCCUCAGGAUAGCYGGCACUCGGAGACGCAGUUUUAUCCGGUAAAGCGAAUGACUAGAGGCCUUGGGGCCGAAACGAUCUCAACCUAUUCUCAAACUUUAAAUGGGUAAGAAGCCCGGCUCGCUGGCUUGGAGCCGGGCGUGGAAUGCGAGUGCCUAGUGGGCCA
RNAcentral lists this ribosomal RNA (264 nucleotides) under Botia almorhae (Almorha loach). RNAcentral's name for it is "partial 28S ribosomal RNA". It matches the Rfam family "Eukaryotic large subunit ribosomal RNA", at positions 871 to 1133 of the family's 3401-position model. The record is from RNAcentral. Lineage: Eukaryota; Metazoa; Chordata; Actinopteri; Cypriniformes; Botiidae.